GGAGAGAUGUCCGAGUGGCUGAAGGAGCACGCUUGGAAAGCGUGUUUGGGGGAAACUCCAACGUGGGUUCGAAUCCCACUCUCUCCGCCA
Molecule: transfer RNA, 90 nt
Filed under: Acidobacteriota bacterium
Lineage: Bacteria; Pseudomonadati; Acidobacteriota
Also listed under: 1 other name
Description: Acidobacteria bacterium tRNA-Ser
Rfam family: tRNA
About the family: Transfer RNA (tRNA) molecules are approximately 80 nucleotides in length.
Source: RNAcentral